This 492-nucleotide ribosomal RNA is filed under the name uncultured bacterium. RNAcentral describes it as "partial 16S ribosomal RNA". It matches the Rfam family "Bacterial small subunit ribosomal RNA", at positions 29 to 507 of the family's 1533-position model. The record is from RNAcentral.
AGUGAACGCUGGCGGUAGGCCUAACGCAUGCAAGUCGAACGGCAGCACAGUAAGAGCUUGCUCUUACGGGUGGCGAGUGGCGGACGGGUGAGGAAUACAUCGGAAUCUACAUUUUCGUGGGGGAUAACGUAGGGAAACUUACGCUAAUACCGCAUACGACCUACGGGUGAAGGCAGGGGAUCUUCGGACCUUGCGCGAUUGAAUGAGCCGAUGUCGGAUUAGCUAGUUGGCGGGGUAAAGGCCCACCAAGGCGACGAUCCGUAGCUGGUCUGAGAGGAUGAUAAGCCCAACUGGAACUGAGACACGGUCCAGACUCCUAGGGGAGGCAGCAGUGGGGAUUGUUGGACAGUGGGCACAAGCCUGAUCCAGCCAUACCGCGUGGAUGAAGAAGGCCUUCGGGUUGUAAAGCCCUUUUGUUGGGAAAGAAAAGCAGCAGGUUAAUACCCCGCUGUUCUGACGGUACCCAAAGAAUAAGCACCGGCUAACUUCGUG